CCUACGGGUGGCAGCAGUGAGGAAUAUUGGUCAAUGGACGAGAGUCUGAACCAGCCAAGUAGCGUGAAGGAUGACUGCCCUAUGGGCUGUAAACUUCUUUUAUAAAGGAAUAAAACGAGGCACGUGUGCCUUUUUGCAUGUACUUUAUGAAUAAGGAUCGGCUAACUCCGUGCCAGCAGCAGCGGUAAUACGGAGGAUCCGAGCGUUAUCCGGAAUUAUUGGGUUUAAAGGGAGCGUAGAUGGGUUGUUAAGUUAGUUGUGAAAGUUUGUGGCUCAACCGUAAAAUUGCAAUUGAUACUGGCAGUCUUGAGUACAGUAGAGGUAGGCGGAAUUCGUGGUGUAGCGGUGAAAUGCUUAGAGAUCACGAAGAACCCUGAUUGCGAAGGCAGCUUACUAAACUGUGACUGACAUUGAUGCUCGAAAGUGUGGGGAUCAAACAGGAUUAGAUACCCAAGUAGUC
Molecule: ribosomal RNA, 460 nt
Filed under: uncultured bacterium
Lineage: Bacteria
Description: partial 16S ribosomal RNA
Rfam family: Bacterial small subunit ribosomal RNA
Source: RNAcentral